GACGAACGCUGGCGGCGGGCUUAACACAUGCAAGUCGAACGGAAAGGCCCUGCUUUUGUGGGGUGCUCGAGUGGCGAACGCGUGAGUGACACGUGAGUAACCUGCUCUUGACUUUGGGAUAACUUCAGGAAACUGGGGCUACUACCGGAUAGGAGCUCCUCCUGCAUGGUAGGGGUUGGAAAGUUUCGGCGGUUGGGGAUGGACUCGCGGGUUAUCAGCUAGUUGGUUGGGUAGUGGCUUACCAAGGCUUUGACGGGUAGCCGGCCUGAGAGCGUGACCGGCGACAAUGGUACUGCGAUACGGACCAGACUCCUACGUGAGGCAGCAGUGGGGAAUAUUGCACAAUGGGCGGAAGCCUGAUGCAGCAACGCCGCGUGCGUGAUGACGGCCUUCGGGGUGUGAACCGCUUUCGCCUGUGACGAAGCGUGAGUGACGGUAAUGGGUAAAGAAGCACCGGCUAACUACGUG
RNAcentral lists this ribosomal RNA (468 nucleotides) under uncultured bacterium. Its description in RNAcentral is "partial 16S ribosomal RNA". It matches the Rfam family "Bacterial small subunit ribosomal RNA", at positions 28 to 507 of the family's 1533-position model. The record is from RNAcentral.